This 572-nucleotide ribosomal RNA is filed under the name Pandeleteius platensis. RNAcentral's name for it is "eukaryotic LSU rRNA". It matches the Rfam family "Eukaryotic large subunit ribosomal RNA", at positions 397 to 773 of the family's 3401-position model. Lineage: Eukaryota; Metazoa; Arthropoda; Insecta; Coleoptera; Curculionidae. The record is from RNAcentral.
ACGUGAAACCGUUUAGGGGUAAACCUGAGAAACCCGAAAGGUCGAAGGGAGAAAUUCAUUCGCGUUUCGCUUUAGGCGUCUGACGUUCGAGCGACGGAAAUCGUUCGCGAUUUGCGCGCCCUACGUCUUUCGAUCCUUCGGCGAACGCGUGCACUUUUCUCCUGGUAGGACGUCGCGAUCCGUUGGGCGUCGGUCUACGACUCGCGGUGGAGCCCGAUCGUACGGCUUGCCGUUACGAGCGGACCCGCUUGUUCCGGCCGACUCGCUCGACGGUAUACGAAAGGUUUGAGGCCGCUCUCGGAGCGUUCGGCUCGUCGCAAGCGCGUCAGAUGCGUCGGCGAUCGGACCUGGUGCCGGUUCUGACCUCUGGCGACUGUUGGCGACGAAGUUCUCGAACAGACUUCUAACCGAUCUGCGACGCUAUAGCUUUGGGUACUUUCAGGACCCGUCUUGAAACACGGACCAAGGAGUCUAGCAUGUGCGCGAGUCAUUGGGAAUAACUAAACCUAAAGGCGCAAUGAAAGUAAAGAUCCGCCUCGCGCGGAUCGAGGGAAGACGAGCGGUUUGCCGUU